GCAUCUCCCUUACACUGAGAAGUCACCCGUGCAAUUCGGGUCGCCCUGA
This 49-nucleotide transfer RNA is filed under the name Cottus amblystomopsis (Sakhalin sculpin). Its description in RNAcentral is "partial tRNA-Val". Lineage: Eukaryota; Metazoa; Chordata; Actinopteri; Perciformes; Cottidae. The record is from RNAcentral.